This is a long non-coding RNA of Mauremys reevesii (Reeves's turtle), 673 nucleotides long. RefSeq lists it as uncharacterized. The record is from RefSeq and is a predicted model, not a curated record. NCBI's taxonomy places the organism in Eukaryota, Metazoa, Chordata, Testudines, Geoemydidae. The transcript is spliced from 3 exons.
CACCAAGAUGGUUUCUUUUGUACUUUUUUAAGCCUUAUGGUAUCUUUUACUUCAAUGUAAACAAUCAGAGUCUGAUAGAGGGUACCUAGAUUGAAGGGCAAAACAGCUAACAGUGCUAGCACUCAGCAAAAAUGCAUUAGUACAUUCUGGAUGAGAUGGGAAGAAGCUUUUCUAUACAUCUGAAACCUUUCCAGAACCAGACACUAUUGGAAAAGAAGACUUCUGCAACUACAAUUUUGUCUUGGACUUUGUGCAGCCCUGCUCAACAUGCAGCCCACGUGGGCUCACUGUGCAGCCCAUGGGCAAGCAGCAGGUUGGAGCUGCUGGGUUCGCCAUGUUCCAGCCGCCCUAACAGCCAGGACCACAUGUGUCUCCAUCUCCUGCUCCCCGCGCUUGGCGUACAGCAUGUGAGUCACUUCCGGGGCCUGCUGAGGCAGGAAGCACUGAGCACAAGACAAAGCCGGUUAACAAUAAGGCACAGCAGGAUGAGUCACAACAACUGCAUUCUAUUCUUGACUCCACCAUAGAUUUUCAGUGUAACCUGGAAUAACAUCUCCUCUAGGAUGGGACAUAUUCAGAGACUGAACCUGUGACUUCUGGAUCUCCGUGAGCUUUUAAUGCCUGACUAAAGAAUCACAUCAAUUAGCUUGAAGUAGAGCUGAUUGAAAUAUAA